UGGGCUGAGAAACCACACUCUGGGCUCCAAGAAAAGUUCCCCUGAGACACUGUCCUGGCGCUGCCAGCUCAUAGGCGAGAGACAGCCACCAAAGUCAGGGGCUCAGGAACAGUACAAAAAAAUCACAAGCUAUCCCAGACGGUGCACAUCACGGGCCAGGCCAAAAUCUGCAACCUUCAUCACGUUGUCCUCAGUCACCAACACGUUUCUGGCAGCCAAGUCUCUGUGAACGCACUGAGGAGGCGUGAAAGGAACCUGGCUACGCUGACACCUCCCUCGCCUAAGCAGGCUGGACACCCACUCUUCCACGCUGACAGACCCUACCCGGCCUGGGCCCCAGCUCUGCUCACCUUCCGAGAAGCCAGGUGCUCCAUACCUCGGGCCACCUGACAGGCACAGGACACGAGAUCUUUGCGGCAUUUUCACAGCCACGGUGAUGGGCUCGGCAGUGUUGUCCAGGUGAAGGCCAACAGCCUCUGCCUUAAAAACCUGGCCAAAGCAGCCUUCUCCUAGAGAAUGACCAAGUGUCAGCCUGUCCGAAGAAGCAGAGGCCGUGAGUAUGUGGCCAGGACCCCCAGCCCUCAUGGCCCUGUGCCACUGCAUCCAUAGCUGGCAAUGGGCUUUUAAAAAUAUUUAUUUAUUAUGUAUACAAUAUUCUGUCUGUGUGUAU
Long non-coding RNA from Arvicola amphibius (Eurasian water vole), 670 nucleotides. RefSeq lists it as uncharacterized. The transcript has 3 exons. NCBI's taxonomy places the organism in Eukaryota, Metazoa, Chordata, Mammalia, Rodentia, Cricetidae. The record is from RefSeq and is a predicted model, not a curated record.